CUCUGUAAAAACAACCACCAAAAGGGCGUGAGAACUAUUAACAAUAGUUCCCAGUGGGUAAGCCGCCAGCCUCGGCGAAUUACACCACUAGGCUCGAGAUGUACAGAAUGGAAAUAAAAGCAGUAAUUUGCAUGAUAUAUUUUCAAUGCUAACAAUUCAUAAGCCAAUGUUAACAAAUAAUGAACAUGUAAACAACAUGUGAUCAUAGCAUCAACAGUAAUGAAUCAACUGAAUGAUAGAAGCAUGGCUACUACUAUAAGCAUAAACAUAGCAUAAGUGUGUAAGUAACUACUGUACACUGUAACUGGUAAUUAUUCAUUACUGUCCAAUUUCCUUUAGCAUUUUCCUUUCAUUCACAGGGAUCUACUCAAGGUAGUCCAGCUUGCGCCGCGCCUAAUGGCCCCGUGGUAGUAUACACUCCCCACGGCAAUCCACUUCGGCACCCAAUCCCGCACGGGCGAGCAACUGUCGCGUAGGCCAACUCCGGAGUGCCGGCUUGUAGGGAGCUACCCUCACAAGCGUGUGCGAAUGAGCACGAUGGCAAGCAAGCAAAAUCCACUGUCCACAUACCUCAGUUUUCAUAUUUUCAUUGCAAAGUUCUUACCCUCGAUCCUUUGAUCGGAAUAUCAAUACACAAAUAAGCUAGUAUCCACUAGAUUGUAAACAUGUAUGGGUAAAGCUAAAUCACAUGGCAUUAUAAUAUUUCCAUUAGUAUGGCACUAUCAAUAUAGUCAUGAGCAUGUCAUAGUUCUCUACGUUAGAGUCAAGAGAAUGUCAUUGUUCUCUACUUUAAAGUGCAUCCUACACUUAUUCAUAAGUCAUUCAACUGAAUUGAAUGUAAAUAGAAAUACUCUCAUGUAUAUAUGUUCUCUAUAUCAUAGAAACAUAAUAAACUGAACUCUUAGUUGUUCUACUGAACAAAACAAAAAUACUUAAAUGCAUGAGUACUUUUAUGCAUGAACGCUCAUUCACAUAUGAUAAACGUCAUGAUGACGAGUUCCGAGCCCUUAACAAUCACAUAAGCACAAUAAUAAGACCCUUUCUAUAAUACAUAUAGAACAUAGGGGAGUUUCACUUGCUCUGGUUAGGUCCGACCCACCUCGUACUAAGCUCAAAUCAGCUUACGAGGGUUCCGAAAUCAACUCCACUAGGCCUCAGCCCUGCUGCAAAACGAAGCACGAAAGUCGCAUCGAAGCGAUUACAUAAGACUCCAAUUCGGCAAAAUUCUCAAUUAAUACGAUGUGGAAGUUGAGUUCCCUGUUUAGGCUCAAUAAAUACCUCACGAUAAGCUUCCAAAAUGCC
Molecule: long non-coding RNA, 1302 nt
Filed under: Ananas comosus (pineapple)
Lineage: Eukaryota; Viridiplantae; Streptophyta; Magnoliopsida; Poales; Bromeliaceae
Description: long non-coding RNA (ACOM_LNC019902)
Source: RNAcentral